This is an RNA transcript of Maniola jurtina (meadow brown), 1647 nucleotides long. It is a transcript of the gene named protein lin-37 homolog, with no coding region annotated. Lineage: Eukaryota; Metazoa; Arthropoda; Insecta; Lepidoptera; Nymphalidae. The record is from RefSeq and is a predicted model, not a curated record. The transcript has 7 exons.
UAUUUAAUUUUUGGGAGUUGGUAACACUGUCUAAGAACUACUACGUUUUUCAAAAUCGAAAUCAAGACAUCAAUCAAGUUUAUUGUAAUUUUAUUAUUUUUUUUCUAAAUUAUUAUCAUUCUCAACUACUAUGCCUUUAUCAAAACGUAGAAGACUGUUGGCAUCUAAAAAGAAUGCUAAACCUGUGCCCAACUCCAAAGAGUCCGAGGAACAGAAUGUUGCUCGCGGGCGCCUCAAAGGUGCCUUGUUGGAAAUGAUGGAACCACCCGCCGAGGAAUCCGAUGCUUCCACAGAAUAUGUGCCUGCUAAACGUGAAAGACAACGUAGCAGUCCUAAACAACUUGCCUGGUACGAAAGACCUUAUAGAAGACACAUCCCUCCAGAACGAAAGGAACACUCAUCGGGGGAGGAUGAAAAAUCAGAGAUGCGCCAGAAGUCACCGCCGAGGCAGUCCUAUGUGCUGAAGUUGUUUGACAGGAGCGUAGACCUUUCACAGUUCAGCGAGGACUCCCCACUGUAUCCAAUAUGCAGGGCCUGGAUUGCUAACCAGCCUAAGGCCAACUACAAAAGUUAUUUUGAAAGGGAACCAGAAGAGGCUUCAUCAGAAGACAGUAUACAGCUGCCGGGUCCAGAAGGCCCCGUCAUCUCCCGCAUACCAAGCUUGCUGCCCGAGCAGAAAGCAUGCAGCAAAGACAAUAUUAAUUUGGAUUAUUCGUCGGCGCCGCCUCCGAGCAAGGAGCAGCUGUUACAGCAGCACACGUCGCGCUGGGCGGCCGUGCGCGGCGCGUGGCUUCAGCGCGGCGCGCGCGUGGAGGCGCGCUACAGUGCCGCGCAGGCCGUGCUCAACAACAUUCUCAACAACCAGUAGCCUUUUAUCGCUGUGUUAUUAACAACUGCAGUGUUACGUGACAAAGCCAAGCUGGUUUUUUAACAUUUUAAAUUUUAUAGUAUUUUUUUAUUGAUUUGAUUGAUGGUUUGUGGACCUAGGAUUCAAAGAUUAUGUUUGAUUUGUAUUAUUUUACACGUUUUCGAAUGAAACUGUAUGACAUUUUUAUUAGAGUAUUUUACCCUUUUUUUAUGUCUUAAUUUAAUUGUCCUAAUGUAAAUAGAGUAUAAUAAAUUUCACAAAAAAUGUAUUCGAUUGACAAGCGCAAUUACAAUGCAUUUGAAUUUUGUAUUUCAAACCUCGCGAAAACUUUAACCGCCAUUUUAUUUAGGUUCAUAAACUGUCAUAACCUCACUCUGAUUGCACAUUCUAAGUGAAACAGCAUUUUCUAAGUGAAAUAGAUUACAACUACAAUCCAUGUGAUUGUGAUAUCACCUUCGGAAUUCAUCAUGGCGGCUAGUUCGUGCGUUUUAAAUAUUUGCAGAACAGAAAAAAUGCGAAAUAUAAAAUUCAUUAUAUAAUUUUAUAAACUGAAAACAAUAUUUUUCGAUUGCUUAUUGCUAUACAUUUUAUACAUUUUGUUGCUAUCUUGUUUAUACAUUUUUAGAUUUUUUCUCACUUGGUGUGAAAUACUCUAUUUGUUUGUAGUGUUAUAGAUAAUAAUUAAAGAUUAUGAUUAUUUAUGGGAAGAUGAGUUUUGCGAAUGAAACUGUAUGAAUUUUUAAUAUUAUAAUUGAUUACAGAAACGUUUACUUUAUUGA